CACGUAGGGGGCGAGCGUUGUCCGGAUUUAUUGGGCGUAAAGGGUGCGUAGGCGGCGGAGUAAGUUGGGUGUGAAAUCCCGGGGCUCAACCUCGGAAUUGCAUUCAAUACUGCUUCGCUCGAGUACUGGAGAGGAGACUGGAAUUCCUGGUGUAGCGGUGGAAUGCGCAGAUAUCAGGAGGAACACCGAUGGCGAAGGCAGGUCUCUGGGCCAUUACUGACACUGAGAAGCGAAAGCAUGGGGAGCGAACAGG
RNAcentral lists this ribosomal RNA (253 nucleotides) under uncultured bacterium. RNAcentral's name for it is "partial 16S ribosomal RNA". It matches the Rfam family "Bacterial small subunit ribosomal RNA", at positions 524 to 776 of the family's 1533-position model. The record is from RNAcentral.